AUGUAUGAUAUAUUCCCCAAAAUUGAAACAAUACAUGUAGAGAAGAUUACCAUAAUCCUGUAUAAAGAUGAUAACCUGAAUUCAUGAAGCAUUCCAUAUUUUU
Molecule: small nuclear RNA, 103 nt
Organism: Lemur catta (Ring-tailed lemur)
Lineage: Eukaryota; Metazoa; Chordata; Mammalia; Primates; Lemuridae
Source: RefSeq, a predicted model, not a curated record